UACGAGGGGGGCGAGCGUUGUUCGGAAUUACUGGGCGUAAAGAGUGUGUAGGCGGUGUUCCAAGUCUGGUGUGAAAUCUCCCGGCUUAACUGGGAGGGUGCGCCGGAAACUGGAAUGCUCGAGGGUGGGAGAGGUAAGCGGAAUUCCUGGUGUAGCGGUGAAAUGCGUAGAUAUCAGGAGGAACACCUGUGGUGUAGACAGCUUACUGGACCACUUCUGACGCUGAGACACGAAAGCGUGGGUAGCAAACAGG
Molecule: ribosomal RNA, 253 nt
Filed under: uncultured bacterium
Lineage: Bacteria
Description: partial 16S ribosomal RNA
Rfam family: Bacterial small subunit ribosomal RNA
Source: RNAcentral